UGAACGCUAGCUACAGGCUUAACACAUGCAAGUCGAGGGGUCUCGAGGGAGCUUGCUCUUGAGAGACGACCGGCGCACGGGUGAGUAACGCGUAUCCAACCUGCCCUUCAUAUUGGGAUAGCCUUCCGAAAGGGGAGAUUAAUACCGAAUAACAUGAGAAGAUUGCAUGAACCUCUCAUGAAAGCUCCGGCGAUGAAGGAUGGGGAUGCGUAGGAUUAGGUAGUAGGCGGGGUAACGGCCCACCUAGCCGACGAUCCUUAGGGGUUCUGAGAGGAAGGUCCCCCACACUGGCACUGAGACACGGACCAGACUCCUACGGGAGGCAGCAGUGAGGAAUACUGGUCAAUGGGCGGAAGCCUGAACCAGCCAAGUAGCGUGAAGGAUUACUGCCCUACGGGUUUUAAACUUCUUUUAUGCGAGAGUAAUGUGCGCUACGUGUAGCGUAUUGCAAGUAUCGCAUGAAUAAGCAUCGGCUAACUCCGUG
RNAcentral lists this ribosomal RNA (484 nucleotides) under uncultured bacterium. RNAcentral's name for it is "bacterial SSU rRNA". It matches the Rfam family "Bacterial small subunit ribosomal RNA", at positions 30 to 507 of the family's 1533-position model. The record is from RNAcentral.